Molecule: ribosomal RNA, 330 nt
Filed under: uncultured bacterium
Lineage: Bacteria
Description: bacterial SSU rRNA
Rfam family: Bacterial small subunit ribosomal RNA
Source: RNAcentral
GCUCAGAUUGAACGCUGGCGGCAUGCCUUACACAUGCAAGUCGAACGGUAACAGGUCUUCGGACGCUGACGAGUGGCGAACGGGUGAGUAAUACAUCGGAACGUGCCCAGUCGUGGGGGAUAACUACUCGAAAGAGUAGCUAAUACCGCAUACGAUCUGAGGAUGAAGGCGGGGGACCUUCGGGCCUCGCGCGAUUGGAGCGGCCGAUGGCAGAUUAGGUAGUUGGUGGGACAAAAGCUUACCAAGCCGACGAUCUGUAGCUGGUCUGAGAGGACGACCAGCCACACUGGGACUGAGACACGGCCCAGACUCCUACGGGAGGCAGCAGUA